Molecule: ribosomal RNA, 486 nt
Filed under: uncultured bacterium
Lineage: Bacteria
Description: bacterial SSU rRNA
Rfam family: Bacterial small subunit ribosomal RNA
Source: RNAcentral
AGAGUUUGAUCCUGGCUCAGAUUGAACGCUGGCGGCAUGCCUUACACAUGCAAGUCGAACGGCAGCGCGGGAGCAAUCCUGGCGGCGAGUGGCGAACGGGUGAGUAAUAUAUCGGAACGUACCCUGGAGUGGGGGAUAACGCAGCGAAAGUUGCGCUAAUACCGCAUACGAUCUACGGAUGAAAGUGGGGGCUCGCAAGACCUCAUGCUCGUGGAGCGGCCGAUAUCUGAUUAGCUAGUUGGUAGGGUAAAAGCCUACCAAGGCAUCGAUCAGUAGCUGGUCUGAGAGGACGACCAGCCACACUGGGACUGAGACACGGCCCAGACUCCUACGGGAGGCAGCAGUGGGGAAUUUUGGACAAUGGGGGCAACCCUGAUCCAGCAAUGCCGCGUGAGUGAAGAAGGCCUUCGGGUUGUAAAGCUCUUUUGUCAGGGAAAGAAAACGGUGAAAGGCUAAUAUCCUUUGCUAAAUGACGUACCUGAAGAA